Molecule: long non-coding RNA, 523 nt
Organism: Macrosteles quadrilineatus (aster leafhopper)
Lineage: Eukaryota; Metazoa; Arthropoda; Insecta; Hemiptera; Cicadellidae
Exons: 3
Source: RefSeq, a predicted model, not a curated record
GUUCUACGUUUAGUAACAUACUGCAGUGGAAAGUAGUUUGCAUGAUCCAUGAGUGUAGAAGUUAUCAUUGCAACAGCCGUAGUCACGGUAGCCGUGGGUCUACCAGCUGCUUUCAUCAAAUCCAUGGGUCGGGUGACUGCUUGGGUUGUCUACAGACAUGUUCUAAUGAAACAGAAAAAAGAGUAAAUAUGUGCUUCCUCUCUGACUUUCCGAGUGAGACGGGGACAGCAGAGUACACAACAGUAAACACUUUGGUUAUGUACAUACACCACCAACUGGAAUUGGUACUUGGACUUUCAUUGACUAUUAACUACUAACUGGACCGAUAUACAAAGAAGUAGAGAAGAAGCGAGAAGUAGGCACAAUGCAAGAAUGACACUGCAACUAGUCAAUCAGUAAAGUUUAGCAGUAUAAUGAAUAUAUAUAACGAAUUUCAACCUUAAAAUUAAACCUUAAAAUUCAGUCUCAAAAUCUUUAAUUGAUAUUUUGUUUGCUUCAUUGAAAAAAUAAACACACACAGCCA